AGGUCCGGUCUAAGUUGAAAAUUGUAUCAGUUGGUAUAAAAUUAGAAUUCAGAGGGGGUAUCGAACGUUGUUGUUUGCACGGAAUGAGUGCUCCAAACAGGAGGGGGUGUGGAAAAUCAAAAAAUAAAAAAAGGUUAGAAAUGGAAUAUAAACCAAUAAGCAGAGUAAGAUGCAUUGACAGCCGUUGCCAUGUUAUUUCAGUCAUUCGAUGCGUUUCAUGUCAUCACGUGAUCGACAUGGUGACUCAUCGUUUCCCAGACUUAUUCAGAUUAGAAGAAGUCGACACUCGCUACUUCGAACAUUAUCAAGUGGCGAGUGCGUUUUUGCUUAUUUCAUUUUCCAAUAUUGGCUUGUUUUGAUAGUUUGUCAAGUGUUGUUUGUAUAAAAAUGUUGAGUGG
Molecule: long non-coding RNA, 398 nt
Filed under: Androctonus crassicauda
Lineage: Eukaryota; Metazoa; Arthropoda; Arachnida; Scorpiones; Buthidae
Source: RNAcentral